UUGCUUUGGCAGGAAAGGUGCUAAAAGUGGAACAAAAAUACAGAGGUUAGCAUGGCCCCUGUCAAGGAUGACAUGCACAUGGGUGAAGUGUCUUAUUUUUCA
Eptesicus fuscus (big brown bat) is the source of this 102-nucleotide small nuclear RNA. NCBI's taxonomy places the organism in Eukaryota, Metazoa, Chordata, Mammalia, Chiroptera, Vespertilionidae. The record is from RefSeq and is a predicted model, not a curated record.